RNAcentral lists this ribosomal RNA (413 nucleotides) under uncultured microorganism. RNAcentral's name for it is "bacterial SSU rRNA". It matches the Rfam family "Archaeal small subunit ribosomal RNA", at positions 330 to 745 of the family's 1478-position model. The record is from RNAcentral.
GCGCAGCAGGCGCGAAACCUCCGCAAUACACGAAAGUGUGACGGGGCCAUCCCGAGUGCCGUCCGCUGAGGACGGCUUUUCCCCAGUGUACACAGCUGGGGGAAUAAGGAGAGGGCAAGCCUGGUGUCAGCCGCCGCGGUAAUACCAGCUCUCCGAGUGGUGGGGACGCUUAUUGGGCCUAAAGCAUCCGUAGCCGGCUGGGCAAGUCCUCCGUUAAAUCCAACGAUUCAAUCGUUGGGCUGCGGGGGAUACUGUCCAGCUUGGGGGCGGGAGAGGCCGACGGUAUUCCCGGGGUAGGGGUGAAAUCCUAUAAUCCCGGGAGGACCACCAGUGGCGAAGGCUGUCGGCUAGAACGCGCCCGACGGUGAGGGAUGAAAGCUGGGGGAGCGAACCGGAUUAGAUACCCCUGUAGU